This is a long non-coding RNA of Nymphaea colorata (pocket water lily), 3007 nucleotides long. RefSeq lists it as uncharacterized. Lineage: Eukaryota; Viridiplantae; Streptophyta; Magnoliopsida; Nymphaeales; Nymphaeaceae. The record is from RefSeq and is a predicted model, not a curated record. The transcript has 8 exons.
UCAAUUUUUUGAACGUUAGUGCCGUGUUUUGCGUCCAGUCUCGAGGAAACCAGACCCAGUCGACAGUUUCGUAUUGUUUGUGAGUCUACUCAGAGAAAUUCAGGCGUCUGCUCCAAUGGUCUGAUCAAAAUUUAAUUGAAAACAGGAAAAGUUAUGCGGUUUUUCUCUCCGUCAAGCGGGCUUUCCUUUUCCCGCUUCUGUGCCUUUUCCUGUUUUUUUUUCUCUUCCUCUUUCUCCGGUCCGCCCGUGGAUCGAUCGGCGUCGUUCAGCUUUCCUGGCAUCAUUCAGUGAACCUUUCGGCCCUCGCUCAACUGGAAAUAACUAUGAAAGAGAGGUACACUGUCGGUGAGGCGUUAUUUCAACCUUCCGUUUUGGGCUUCUAAGAGCAUGGUAUUGUUGAGUAGCUUCUGCGUUGUAUCUCAAGUGCUUCAUAUGAGAACCAUAGGCAAUUGUUGGAAAUAUUGUGGUUUGUGGAUUGUAUCUAUGACUGUGGUCCCUGCGGUCGUGCGAACAGUUGCUUUUGGUUUCUAGGGUUUUCUCUUCCCCAUCUGAGAGAGACCUCACGCGCACCGCACGUAUCGUGGAAGAUCCUACCGCGAUCUACUGUCCGUGCAUUUCAGAUGGAUUUAGCCGACUAUCACUCGGCACCAUGUGGGCCAAAUAGGCUUGAAAAAGUGAGUCUGUGACAACUUGAUUCUUUUGAUAAAUAUAAUCUUAUCAAGUUCAUGGGUGUGUGUGUCACAUUCUUAUAGAUUCUUUGAAUUGCAUAUCAUACAUUGCUUAAGUUUGUAGGUUGAUUGACUGAAUAUCUAUUAUUUUGUAUAUGUGUCUGGUCGUUGGUGCAUAAACACCCAUGAGUUUGUAUAUGUGCAUGUGUGUGUGUUAUUUCUGUGCAUGAUUUAAGUAUUUGCAUGUGUCUAGCCAUUGUAAACAAAUGAAUACCAAAUAAGGUUUCAAGUCAUUCCGUGUAUGUCAUUUUGAAUAUUAUAUCCAACAACAUGCAUAUGUGGUAAUGACCUUUCUUUUUUUGGGCUUGAAUGGUGCACUGGAUGAAUCGAAACCAAGAGGACAACAAAGAUAUAGUUAGGAAUUGAAACUGCUGGUGCACUGGAUGAAUGGUUGAAGCACUGAUGGGUGUGAUCGGAGCUCGGAAGACAACCCUCAUGGACGUUCUUUCUGGGAGAAAAACUGGAGGUGUUAUUGAGGGGACAUAUGGAUUGGAGGAUAUCUUAAGGUCCAGAAGACAUUUGCUAGGGUAUCUGGAUAUUGUGAACUGACUGAUAUUCAUUCUCCAUAUAUUACUGUUGAAGAAUCUCUUAUCUACUCUGCUUGGUUGAGAUUAGCCUCUGAAAUUGAUCCAAAGACUAAAAGGAGUCCGACUCUCCCUCUCUCCGUCUCUCGCCUGACGCCUCUCGCCCCCUCGCGCAACUCUCCCGACGAUUACCAUGUCGUCCCCUCAUCAGUCAUCCCUUCACGUAAGUCUCCUCCUCUCUCUAUCCAAACCGACACCUAAACCCUAAUUUUUCUUCUUAUAUUCCCCCCUCCCUCUGGGCCGUUUGUUUGAUGGUUCUCUCGCUAUCUCUGGUUUUAUUUCCGUUCAGGAGAAAAAUCGAGGUGCUCCGCAGGAAUGGAUGCACUCUGGUAGGUGAGUUCGCUUUUUCUGCUACUGGAGUUCCCUUUUAUUUUUGAACCUCAUACUUGUGAUCACGUGGGGAUCAUCUUGAUUUCUUGUUUGAAAAGUUUAAAGGUCAGUAAUGACGUUGAACGCGGUUGAAUUUCUUGGUCAGUAUCACUAGUAGGGUUAUUUUUUGUUAGAUUAGUGCACUUAGAUUAUUUGCACGUGCACGUGUGUUGCUCUCUUUGCUGCCUAAGUUGAUCAACAAAAUUCUAGAACGUGGAAAUCUGAUUUCCUCGUUUGUGUUGGAAAGUGGGAGAAGCUGGAAGAUGACAUUCGACCGUAAUGCUACUCCAAAUUAACCAGUUGGUCCGUUAAAUCCCACUCCCCAAAAUGCUGAUUAGUUUUCCAGAUUGGUUCACUCUUCAUGUUUUAUCUUGAAUGUUUCCAGAUCCUUCAUGUUUGUUUUUCUGAAGAAUGAUUUAAUCUUAUGCUGAUAGUCUUUUAGGCGAGGAAAAAAGGGGAAAAUCCUUAUCGGCAUCUGACAGGUAGGAAUUGAUUUAAAGAACUGGGUUUCUCUUAAAGCUGCAUUGUGAGUUGUUGAACUGCUUAAAAUUCAUGAGAAAGAUCAUAAGCACACUCAAAGUUUGGUUCAUCAGUUAGUAAGGAACAUUCUUAUGUAUUAGAAGCAUCACCAAGGUGUUUUCUGCAAGCAUUUUUUUGUUCUUGUCCUGCUGCUGUUGACAUUUAUCUGUCUUUUUUUUUGUUCUUGUCCUGCUGCUGUUGACAUUUAUCUGUCACCAAGGUGUUUUCUUGAUUUUUUGGUGAGGUGUACUCACUCUGAUGAGAAUAGCAACAAUCUUCUCGACAAGUUGCAAGAUGCAUUUGGGAGAGACCAGAACCCUUCCUCUGUUCUUCCCAUGAUUUCAGCUGAGCUUGCAACACUAACAAUAGCUUGAAAAAGAUUCAACUAAGGAUUAGAACAGGAAUUCUUGGUAUUCCAAAGAUAAUAGACAACUACAAAUACAGCAACAUGGGUGUUGGAAGUUACUUCUAUUUCGGUAGAAAGACAUAAAGAUUUUGCUCGACUGUACAAGGAGUCGUCCCUCUAUCGGAGAAACCUAAGUCACAUGGAUACGCCUAUUUGGCCCAAGUAUUCGUGUCUAUAUGGGGAUACGGGUGCAGAUACGGCAUGGAUACGUUUUGGAUCAGGUCUGAAUCAGAUCCGAUCCGAACAAAAAAAACAGAUUUUAAGUUAAGUUGAGUUCUUCUCCCUUUCUCUUUGGGGUUUUUUUUUUCUGUUUUUCUGAUAAAUGAAUGAUGAUAUUGAUAACAAUGUUUUGUGAUAAACAAUGUUUUGUUUGUGACUUUAAGAGUGAACUAUUAAUUUAA